RNAcentral lists this ribosomal RNA (420 nucleotides) under uncultured bacterium. Its description in RNAcentral is "bacterial SSU rRNA". It matches the Rfam family "Bacterial small subunit ribosomal RNA", at positions 355 to 772 of the family's 1533-position model. The record is from RNAcentral.
UAAGGAAUAUUGGACAAUGGAGGCAACUCUGAUCCAGCCAUGCCGCGUGAAGGAAUAAGGCCCUAUGGGUUGUAAACUUCUUUUAGACGGGACAAAACCCCUUUACGUGUAAAGGGUUGAUGGUACUGUCAGAAUAAGCAUCGGCUAACUUCGUGCCAGCAGCCGCGGUAAUACGAAGGAUGCAAGCGUUAUCCGGAAUUAUUGGGUUUAAAGGGUGCGUAGGCGGACUAAUAAGUCAGUGGUGAAAGCCUGCAGCUUAACUGCAGAAUUGCCAUUGAUACUGUUAGUCUUGAGUACAGUUGAGGUAGGCGGAAUGUGUCAUGUAGCGGUGAAAUGCUUAGAUAUGACACAGAACACCGAUUGCGAAGGCAGCUUGCUAAGCUGUAACUGACGCUGAGGCACGAAAGCGUGGGGAGCAAA